UGUGGGAGCUGGCUUGCCUGCGAUGCAGGCAUCUCGGUCUUUCAGAUACACCGAGGCGAUGCCAUCGCAGGCAAGCCAGCUCCCACA
Molecule: unclassified non-coding RNA, 87 nt
Filed under: Pseudomonas yamanorum
Lineage: Bacteria; Pseudomonadati; Pseudomonadota; Gammaproteobacteria; Pseudomonadales; Pseudomonadaceae
Source: RNAcentral